This is a non-coding RNA of Plutella xylostella (diamondback moth), 472 nucleotides long. Lineage: Eukaryota; Metazoa; Arthropoda; Insecta; Lepidoptera; Plutellidae. The record is from RefSeq and is a predicted model, not a curated record.
CAACAAUCCUUAAACAGCGCUGCAAUCUGAUAUAUACCUUGUAUGGAUCUGACAGACGCUUGAAACAUUAGCAGCGCUGUUUAAAGGUCAUGAGACGGCGACCUGGUGCUUGCUGACUCCGAGGAGACCAGCUCCGGGAGCGACGCCGAGCUCGCGCUGCCCGACUACUGGCGGUGCGCGCAGUGCGGCGCGCAGAAUAACACCCCGCUGUACCGGUACUGCCAGAGCUGCUUCAAGGUGAAUAUGUCAUGUGUCAGGGGUGCCUAGAUCUUGACCGUAGUCCUGAUAGUCAGCGCUGACCGUCGCGUUGCAAAAAUGCAUUCAGUGCUACGCUGACGGCGAACUGACGCUGUCAGCGAAGCACUGAACGCGUCCCUGCAAGCCCAUAAUUCGUCGGUCGCCGCCACCGGGCGUACCAAAUCACUACUAGUCAAGCAAAUAGACUUGCAUAGAUAUAACUACGUCAACCGAC